AUAUACUUUCCUUGAAAAAUAUUGUAAAUGUUCGGAGAGUUCGCCUUCCCUGCAGCUCCGAUGUUCCACGGAACUGAGUAUGGGGUGUUGUAGCUGGCCUCACCCACUAUCGUUCCAUAUAUAAAUGAACCCAGUACUUUUGUGCUGCAAGCCUACAGAAUCUUGGAAAAAAAGUUGGUGCCAAAAUGUA
Molecule: long non-coding RNA, 190 nt
Organism: Bradysia coprophila
Lineage: Eukaryota; Metazoa; Arthropoda; Insecta; Diptera; Sciaridae
Source: RefSeq, a predicted model, not a curated record